CCUAACAUAAACCAAAGAAGAAAGAUUGUUUCCCGUGAAUGCCAUCCCACCACCAUUUGCUACUCACA
RNAcentral lists this non-coding RNA (68 nucleotides) under Amphora coffeiformis. Lineage: Eukaryota; Bacillariophyta; Bacillariophyceae; Surirellales; Surirellaceae. The record is from RNAcentral.